ACUUUUUCAUAAGACUUCAUUUAACAGGAACAGAAGAACACUUAAUUACGGAGCACUUCUUGUAUCAGUCCUCAUUUGCCCCAGAAAGAAGCUAUUCCUAUGGUCUUAAAGAAAGCAUGAAUGUGCCUUUUUUCCAUAAGAGAACAAAAGACAGUGUGCUGAAGAAAGGAUUUAUGACAAUGAACUGGUAUGUAACAGUAUUAAUUAAAAAUAGUAAACGAGGUCCCACAAACAUCCAUUCCCUAAACUUCCAAAAAGCCUGGUUGGGUUUUUAGCUCCACUAAAUUUUGCUGAUUUUGCCACAAAAAUUUAUAAAGAACAUCGAUUUGCAACUUCCAAUCCCCAAUUUAAAAGGAUUUUUUUCUUCAUUAUAAAUAUUUUGAACCCUGAUUUUGAAAGCCGAGUCGUUAAUAUGUAAAAAAAAUCAGAUUUGCUACUGCAGCCUGACUCAGGAUACUUUGGAGUGAAAUGGGUUGCCUAUAUGAAAGACCAACAGUCGCUAGCGGUAUUUAAAAUAAUUUGAAUUUUAAAUUCACACCGUCCUGCGAAAUUAAAUAAGUGCGCUGUUGUCGAGAUAAAGGUAGAAAUAUUACAGUGCAAGUCGAAAUUUGUAAGCAACUAAAUUUUUAGAUUUUAAUAAAAUAAUUUAAAUUUAUUUGGUACAUAAGCAAUCUAUGAAAAUAAUUGUGAUUGUACAAUACUUAACAUUGUUAUUGUAAAUGAAUUUUUAUCAGUUUGUUUUGUAUAUUGGUGUAAUGUGGUAUUUUUUACCUUGUGUUCUGUACAUAACAAUUUUUUAUAGUUUUUUUUAUAGAGAAAGAUGAUUAUCGUUAAAUAUGCAGACAAAAAACUGUUAGCUGUACUUGGGAAAAUUGUGAUGAGUGUAUAAAAAUGUAAUAAAGCAAAAAUAGUCAAGGAGAUAGAUGCUUCUUAAUCAAAAAUAGCGAUUGAUUAAGAAUAAAAGUAAUGUACUCUCUUUUCUUGCAUUUUCAAAAAGUAUUGUAUUUUUAAAAAAUCCGUGUUUUCAAAUUACGUGCCAAUGAAAAUAAACGAAGUUUUAGUUAUAUAAUUCUUUUAAAAAAGUAACAUUGCAAAUGAAAAUGAAAAUUUCCCGCUCUUAUGCCAAUGAAAAGAGCUUAUCAAUUUUUCACAACGGUUUUAUAACUAAAACUUCUUACGUUCCUGUAGGUAUUUAGGUAUUUAAAGAAAACCAAAAGAUAACAUAAUACAUAAAAGUACAAACUAACUGCAAAUUUUAAGUGGUUACCUAUUAAUUUAGAAAUGGUUCAACUUUUUAAUAACUAAAAUCGACAAGUCAGAUAAAUUUAAGUGUAAAUUAAUUUAUUUAUCCCAUGCUUUAACGUUAUUUAUCGUAAAUUGUACAACAUGAAGGCUAUUAAUAAUUCGGGAACAGGAAAUUUAAACCACAGAAACCGUUUAUUAAUAGACUAAAUAAACUUUAAAUGUUUACAUUUAUUUUUUAAAUAACAAUAAGGUACUUCUUAAAUGUUAUACUGCAAUUACUAAGUUUCUUAAUUUCAUUCGUUUAAUGCUUAAAAAAUUCAAUUUCUUGUCCAUUCGGUCGAAUUUUAUUAUACCACAGCAUUGCGAUAAGCCUACAAAUCAACAUUAUUGUAAAUUAUGUAAGUUUAUAUAAUAGUUUAGACUAUUUUUGUUUUGUUGGUCGUGUUCUUUUUAUUUAACUAUGCAAUUCGCAGAAAUUUAACAUUUUUGUCAUAAUGUGUAGGUUGAGAUUCCUAAAUCAGAUAAAUUGACGAUAAUAAGUAAGAUUUAUUUAACUACUACGUAAAAAUCUUCUGAUUUGAUUACGUAUAAAUUAAAGCUCAGAAAUAAAGCAUAUUAAUUUACUAAAAACGGUAGAAUAAAAUCGUUACCACAGUAAAAUACGAUAUAUUGUGUAUCUAUUAAUCAACCAAGUUACAGGUCAAGCCCUAACAAUACAUAAAAAAUAUAAGAUUAAAAUAUAUAUACAUGAGUUGUGAUCAGGCGAUGGAACUCUCACGAAGCAAAAACACACAGAAAUUCAAUUCUGUAAAACGGGGAUGAAACUAGCCACGCGAUUGGUUAAAUUACGAAAAAUUUGCCGCAAACCGUCGCAGAAAUCUAAUUUGAUGCUUCUGAUUGAAUUUGCCUACGUCAUCAGUGCUUCGUGCAGUAGCUAUCGCAAUUUUGCGACAAGCCUGAGACGCGUUUGGUACAUUAUAACAUUAUAAGUUCAUAAAGUUUGGAGGUGGAAGAACGUGUUUUCGCGUUUCUUAAAUUCAACUUAUCGAGCUAUUUUUUUCGCAAAAUUAGUUCUAAUUUGUUCUACGUCUGAAAGGUUAGUUUGAUUGAUUCAUAUUCUAUUAUUAUUCUUCGUAUUUGCUCACAGCAUAAAUUAAAUUGACAAAAUUGUUAAAGGUUAUAUCUUCAAACAGACAUCAGGUGGCCAUGUCGUCAUUUUUAAUGUUAUUUUAUUCGUCUUUGAAUGGUUUUUUAUUGCGUGUUUUUGUUUUAUUUCAUGUUUCAUUUAUUUAAUACGACUGUUUAAUUCUUUUUUUUAUCCAUUCUCCGCAUAUAUUUCGACUUUCAUUUGAGAAAAAGGAAGAAAGUGAAAAGGAUUAAAUAUUUAAAUUUUCUGCGUAACAGAUGUCUAUCAAAUUAAUUAGUUAAUAAUUGUUUUUGUCCGUUUACAUAGAUUAGCCAACGAUUGAUAGAGAUUGGAACUGAUAUCCUUUGCUUACUGAAAAGAAGUCGUCUCCUAUGGUGUUUUAGCUGUUAACUUUUCAUCUUGAAGGCUCUUGCAGUUAAUUAAGGAACAUUAAAAGAACUCCGGAUACCAUUAAAUUAUGAAAUUAUGGAGCAUUGGUUGUAUUAGUCCUCAUUUGCUCCGGAAAGUAGCUGUGCCCAUGGUUCUAAAGAAAGCAUGAAAGUGCCUUUUUUCCAUUGGGAACGAAGCUGUUAAAUUUUCAUCCUGGAUGCUCUUGUAGUUAAUUAAGGGAUGUUAGAAGAACUCCAGAUGCCAUUAAAUUGUGGAGCAUUGAUUGUGUCGGUCCUCAUUGACUCUAAAAAAGUGACUGUUCCUAUGGUCAUAAAGAAAGCAUGAAAGUGCCUUUCCAUUGGGAACGGAGACAAUGUGCUUAAGAAGUGUGUUGCUGAAGGAGGGAUUUAUGACAAUAAACUGAUUGUCCCACAAAUGACGAGGGAUUGCAGUUAAUUUUGAUGCUACUGAAGCAACUGAUAAUUUUGAUGUCUUCAUCUUGCAACAUUAUGCAGUUAAUUUUUGCCGUAACAACAGGA
RNAcentral lists this long non-coding RNA (3300 nucleotides) under Agrilus planipennis (emerald ash borer). RNAcentral's name for it is "uncharacterized LOC112905547, transcript variant X1". Lineage: Eukaryota; Metazoa; Arthropoda; Insecta; Coleoptera; Buprestidae. The record is from RNAcentral.